GUAGGGUGCAAGCGUUAAUCGGAAUUACUGGGCGUAAAGCGUGCGCAGGCGGUUAUGCAAGACAGAGGUGAAAUCCCCGGGCUCAACCUGGGAACUGCCUUUGUGACUGCAUGGCUAGAGUACGGUAGAGGGGGAUGGAAUUCCGCGUGUAGCAGUGAAAUGCGUAGAUAUGCGGAGGAACACCGAUGGCGAAGGCAAUCCCCUGGACCUGUACUGACGCUCAUGCACGAAAGCGUGGGGAGCAAACAGGAUUAGAUACCCUGGUAGUCCACGCCCUAAACGAUGUCAACUGGUUGUUGGGAGGGUUUCUUCUCAGUAACGUAGCUAACGCGUGAAGUUGACCGCCUGGGGAGUACGGCCGCAAGGUG
This 368-nucleotide ribosomal RNA is filed under the name uncultured bacterium. RNAcentral's name for it is "bacterial SSU rRNA". It matches the Rfam family "Bacterial small subunit ribosomal RNA", at positions 527 to 895 of the family's 1533-position model. The record is from RNAcentral.